This 253-nucleotide ribosomal RNA is filed under the name uncultured bacterium. Its description in RNAcentral is "partial 16S ribosomal RNA". It matches the Rfam family "Bacterial small subunit ribosomal RNA", at positions 524 to 776 of the family's 1533-position model. The record is from RNAcentral.
UACGUAGGGUGCAAGCGUUGUCCGGAAUUAUUGGGCGUAAAGAGCUCGUAGGCGGUCUGUCGCGUCUGCUGUGAAAACUCAGGGCUUAACCUUGAGCUUGCAGUGGGUACGGGCAGGCUAGAGUGCGGUAGGGGAGAGUGGAAUUCCUGGUGUAGCGGUGAAAUGCGCAGAUAUCAGGAGGAACACCGGUGGCGAAGGCGGAUCGCUGGGCCGAUACUGACGCUGAGGAGCGAAAGCGUGGGGAGCGAACAGG